RNAcentral lists this ribosomal RNA (492 nucleotides) under uncultured bacterium. RNAcentral describes it as "partial 16S ribosomal RNA". It matches the Rfam family "Bacterial small subunit ribosomal RNA", at positions 29 to 507 of the family's 1533-position model. The record is from RNAcentral.
AGUGAACGCUGGCGGUAGGCCUAACACAUGCAAGUCGAACGGCAGCACAGUAAGAGCUUGCUCUUACGGGUGGCGAGUGGCGGACGGGUGAGGAAUACAUCGGAAUCUACUUUUUCGUGGGGGAUAACGUAGGGAAACUUACGCUAAUACCGCAUACGACCUACGGGUGAAAGCAGGGGAUCUUCGGCCCUUGCGCGAUUGAAUGAGCCGAUGUCGGAUUAGCUAGUUGGCGGGGUAAAGGCCCACCAAGGCGACGAUCCGUAGCUGGUCUGAGAGGAUGAUCAGCCACACUGGAACUGAGACACGGUCCAGACUCCUACGGGAGGCAGCAGUGGGGAAUAUUGGACAAUGGGCGCAAGCCUGAUCCAGCCAUACCGCGUGGGUGAAGAAGGCCUUCGGGUUGUAAAGCCCUUUUGUUGGGAAAGAAAAGCAGCAGGUUAAUACCCCGCUGUUCUGACGGUACCCAAAGAAUAAGCACCGGCUAGCUUCGUG